This 28-nucleotide non-coding RNA is filed under the name Homo sapiens (human). Lineage: Eukaryota; Metazoa; Chordata; Mammalia; Primates; Hominidae. The record is from RNAcentral.
UGGCGAGGUUCGCAUGGGGAGGCACAGC